This 490-nucleotide ribosomal RNA is filed under the name uncultured bacterium. Its description in RNAcentral is "bacterial SSU rRNA". It matches the Rfam family "Bacterial small subunit ribosomal RNA", at positions 28 to 509 of the family's 1533-position model. The record is from RNAcentral.
GACGAACGCUGGCGGCGUGGAUUAGGCAUGCAAGUCGAACGGUAGGAUACCUUCGGGUAUCUGAGAGUGGCGAACGGGUGAGUAACACGUAGGUGAUCUACCCUCAAGAUUGGGACAACCCAGGGAAACUUGGGCUAAUACCGGAUGAAAGCAGCAGUGAUGUUGUUUGAAAGGUGGCGUAAGCUGCCGUUUGGGGAUGAGCCUGCGCUCUAUUAGUUAGUUGGCGGGGUAAAGGCCCACCAAGGCGAUGAUAGAUAGGCGGCCUUAACGGGUGGUCGCCCACACUGGGAUUGAGAUACGGCCCAGACUCCUACGGGAGGCAGCAGUCGAGAAUAGUCUACAAUGGCCGAAAGGCUGAUAGCGCGACGCCGCGUGAACGAAGAAGCCCUUCGGGGUGUAAAGUUCUUUUAUAUGUGAGCAGUGCUUUCUAUGUGAACAGCAUGGGGAGAGAGAUAUUAGCAUAUGAAUAAGCAACGGCUAACUCCGUGCC